RNAcentral lists this ribosomal RNA (478 nucleotides) under uncultured bacterium. RNAcentral describes it as "partial 16S ribosomal RNA". It matches the Rfam family "Bacterial small subunit ribosomal RNA", at positions 28 to 523 of the family's 1533-position model. The record is from RNAcentral.
GACGAACGCUGGCGGCGUGCUUAUCACAUGCAAGUCGAACGGUAAGGCCCUUCGGGGUACACGAGUGGCGAACGGGUGAGUAACACGUGGGUGAUCUGCCCUGCACUUCGGGAUAAGCCUGGGAAACUGGGACUAAUACCGGAUAGGACCACUGCCUGCAUGGGUGGUGGUGGAAAGCUUUUGCGGAGUGGGAUGGGCCCGCGGCCUAUCAGCUUGUUGGUGGGGUGAUGGCCUACCAAGGCGACGACGGGUAGCCGGCCUGAGAGGGUGACCGGCCACACUGGGACUGAGGUACGGCCCAGACUCCUACGGGAGGCAGCAGUGGGGAAGAUUGCACAAUGGGCGCAAGCCUGAUGCAGCGACGCCGCGUGAGGGAUGACGGCCUUUGGGUUGUAAACCUCUUUCAGCACCGACGAAGCGCAAGUGACGGUAGGUGCAGAAGAAGGACCGGCCAACUACGUGCCAGCCGCCGCAGUAA